GACGUAGGGCGCGAGCGUUGUCCGGAUUUACUGGGCGUAAAGAGCUCGUAGGCGGCUCAUUGCGUCAACCGUGAAAACCUGCCGCUCAACGGUAGGCUUGCGGUUGAUACGGGUGGGCUGGAGUUCGGUAGGGGAGACUGGAAUUCCUGGUGUAGCGGUGAAAUGCGCAGAUAUCAGGAGGAACACCGGUGGCGAAGGCGGGUCUCUGGGCCGAUACUGACGCUGAGGCGCGAAAGCUAGGGGAGCAAACGGG
This 253-nucleotide ribosomal RNA is filed under the name uncultured bacterium. Its description in RNAcentral is "partial 16S ribosomal RNA". It matches the Rfam family "Bacterial small subunit ribosomal RNA", at positions 524 to 776 of the family's 1533-position model. The record is from RNAcentral.